GAGUUUGAUCGUGGCUCAGAUUGAACGCUGGCGGCAUGCCUUACACAUGCAAGUCGAACGGCAGCAUGAUCUAGCUUGCUAGAUUGAUGGCGAGUGGCGAACGGGUGAGUAAUACAUCGGAACGUGCCCUGUAGUGGGGGAUAACUAGUCGAAAGAUUAGCUAAUACCGCAUACGACCUGAGGGUGAAAGUGGGGGACCGCAAGGCCUCAUGCUAUAGGAGCGGCCGAUGUCUGAUUAGCUAGUUGGUGGGGUGAAGGCCCACCAAGGCGACGAUCAGUAGCUGGUCUGAGAGGACGAUCAGCCACACUGGGACUGAGACACGGCCCAGACUCCUACGGGAGGCAGCAGUGGGGAAUUUUGGACAAUGGGCGAAAGCCUGAUCCAGCAAUGCCGCGUGUGUGAAGAAGGCCUCGG
Molecule: ribosomal RNA, 415 nt
Filed under: uncultured microorganism
Description: bacterial SSU rRNA
Rfam family: Bacterial small subunit ribosomal RNA
Source: RNAcentral